RNAcentral lists this ribosomal RNA (410 nucleotides) under bacterium. RNAcentral's name for it is "bacterial SSU rRNA". It matches the Rfam family "Bacterial small subunit ribosomal RNA", at positions 395 to 797 of the family's 1533-position model. The record is from RNAcentral.
CGCCGCGUGAGUGAAGAAGGUUUUCGGAUCGUAAAACUCUGUUGUUAGAGAAGAACAAGGAUGAGAGUAACUGUUCAUCCCUUGACGGUAUCUAACCAGAAAGCCACGGCUAACUACGUGCCAGCAGCCGCGGUAAUACGUAGGUGGCAAGCGUUGUCCGGAUUUAUUGGGCGUAAAGCGAGCGCAGGCGGUUUCUUAAGUCUGAUGUGAAAGCCCCCGGCUCAACCGGGGAGGGUCAUUGGAAACUGGGAGACUUGAGUGCAGAAGAGGAGAGUGGAAUUCCAUGUGUAGCGGUGAAAUGCGUAGAUAUAUGGAGGAACACCAGUGGCGAAGGCGGCUCUCUGGUCUGUAACUGACGCUGAGGCUCGAAAGCGUGGGGAGCAAACAGGAUUAGAUACCCUGGUAGUCCA